This 460-nucleotide ribosomal RNA is filed under the name uncultured bacterium. RNAcentral's name for it is "partial 16S ribosomal RNA". It matches the Rfam family "Bacterial small subunit ribosomal RNA", at positions 338 to 795 of the family's 1533-position model. The record is from RNAcentral.
CCUACGGGAGGCAGCAGUGAGGAAUAUUGGUCAAUGGACGCAAGUCUGAACCAGCCAUGCCGCGUGCAGGAAGACGGCUCUAUGAGUUGUAAACUGCUUUUGUACGAGGGUAAACGCAGAUACGCGUAUCUGUCUGAAAGUAUCGUACGAAUAAGGAUCGGCUAACUCCGUGCCAGCAGCCGCGGUAAUACGGAGGAUUCCAGCGUUAUCCGGAUUUAUUGGGUUUAAAGGGUGCGUAGGCGGUCGGAUAAGUUAGGGGUGAAAUUCCGAGGCUCAACUUCGGAAUUGCCUCUGAUACUGUUCGGCUAGAGAGUAGUUGCGGUAGGCGGAAUGUAUGGUGUAGCGGUGAAAUGCUUAGAGAUCAUACAGAACACCGAUUGCGAAGGCAGCUUACCAAGCUACUUCUGACGUUGAGGCACGAAAGCGUGGGGAGCAAACAGGAUUAGAUACCCUUGUAGUC